This 65-nucleotide transfer RNA is filed under the name Laticauda semifasciata (broad-banded blue sea krait). Its description in RNAcentral is "tRNA-Ala". It matches the Rfam family "tRNA". Rfam says of the family: Transfer RNA (tRNA) molecules are approximately 80 nucleotides in length. The record is from RNAcentral. Lineage: Eukaryota; Metazoa; Chordata; Lepidosauria; Squamata; Elapidae.
AGAGUCUUAGUUUAAGUUAAAAUACCUGUAUUGCAGUCAGGUGAUGUGGUUAUCUGCAGAUUCUA